This 301-nucleotide ribosomal RNA is filed under the name uncultured bacterium. RNAcentral's name for it is "partial 16S ribosomal RNA". It matches the Rfam family "Bacterial small subunit ribosomal RNA", at positions 509 to 808 of the family's 1533-position model. The record is from RNAcentral.
CAGUCGCCGCGGGAAUACAGAGGGUGCGAGCGUUAAUCGGAUUUACUGGGCGUAAAGCGUGCGUAGGCGGCUUUUUAAGUCGGAUGUGAAAUCCCUGAGCUUAACUUAGGAAUUGCAUUCGAUACUGGGAAGCUAGAGUAUGGGAGAGGAUGGUAGAAUUCCAGGUGUAGCGGUGAAAUGCGUAGAGAUCUGGAGGAAUACCGAUGGCGAAGGCAGCCAUCUGGCCUAAUACUGACGCUGAGGUACGAAAGCAUGGGGAGCAAACAGGAUUAGAUACCCCCUGUAGUCCCUGUCUCUUAUU